CCUACGGGAGGCAGCAGUGAGGAAUAUUGGUCAAUGGACGAGAGUCUGAACCAGCCAAGUAGCGUGAAGGAUGACUGCCCUAUGGGUUGUAAACUUCUUUUAUAUGGGAAUAAAAUGUUCCACGUGUGGGAUUUUGUAUGUACCAUAUGAAUAAGGAUCGGCUAACUCCGUGCCAGCAGCCGCGGUAAUACGGAGGAUCCGAGCGUUAUCCGGAUUUAUUGGGUUUAAAGGGAGCGUAGGUGGAUUGUUAAGUCAGUUGUGAAAGUUUGCGGCUCAACCGUAAAAUUGCAGUUGAUACUGGCAGUCUUGAGUACAGUAGAGGUGGGCGGAAUUCGUGGUGUAGCGGUGAAAUGCUUAGAUAUCACGAAGAACUACGAUUGCGAAGGCAGUUCACUGGACUGCAACUGACACUGAGGCUCGAAAGUGUGGGUAUCAAACAGGAUUAGAUACCCGAGUAGUC
This 460-nucleotide ribosomal RNA is filed under the name uncultured bacterium. RNAcentral describes it as "partial 16S ribosomal RNA". It matches the Rfam family "Bacterial small subunit ribosomal RNA", at positions 338 to 795 of the family's 1533-position model. The record is from RNAcentral.